This 1889-nucleotide long non-coding RNA is filed under the name Sus scrofa (pig). RNAcentral's name for it is "lncRNA (ENSSSCG00065014570.1)". Lineage: Eukaryota; Metazoa; Chordata; Mammalia; Artiodactyla; Suidae. The record is from RNAcentral.
ACAAAUUUUAAAUGCCUUGAUUAUACUAGACAUUUUUCUAGGCACUGGUGACAGAACAAUGAAUGUCAGAAAAAGUACAUUCUUUUAAAUACCUUCCUUCUUGUGAAAUGAGACAACAUGAAAUUAAACAAGUUUUAUAACAAAAGUGAGAGAGUAAAAAUAAUAUGUAAAAAUAAAAAUACCAUGUAGUAGGUAGCAACUGAGAAAGAAGGGGCAAUUUUGAAUAGGAUGGUGGAGCAAAGACAAGAGCAAUUAUAACACUAUUUUGUAUUGAACCUGUAGGAAGCCAUUGCAGAUAAACUGGAAAGGGUAGGUUCUCCACGGACUGAAAUGCGAUGAGGUUGACUACAUGGUCAGCAGGCAGAUCUCAUGGUCCAUUUUAGAGAGAGACAAUGCAUUCUAGCAUAUCCAGGAUGAGGCCCUGGCAGUUGUUUUGGUGCAGUGAUUAAUGUUCCCUAAUGUUCACGCCCAGCAACUUUUACUCACGCAACUUUGAUACAAUGAUUCCACUUAUCGGAUAUGUUAAAAGAUUGGCAUAUAACAUGUAGGAUGAGUUAACUGAGAACUUUUUCAGCGUUUUUAACCAUGGACAGGUAUGAUCUCAUUUAAAGAAAGACAACAACCCUGCCUGCUCUGUGAAACCUUGUUGGUGAGGAAUGAGGAAAGGGAAAGGUGAGAAAGGAGAUGAAAACCAAAUAGAGAUCUAUUGCAGCCAUCCCAGUGAGUCAUAAUGGAAUGGGCAAGGGCCACCACAGCUCAAGUCCACACGGUGGUUUCACACCCACGAGCCCCACAUCAGAACAAAAUCCAGGACAGCAAGAGGAUGGACUUCUUUUUUCGGUGGGGGUUUCAGGGAAGAGGAUGUGGGAAGGAGAACCUAGAGGCACAGAGACCAGUUUUAGUGAAGAGACCCAGGGAAGUUACAGAUGUGGGCGUUUAUUCUUACAGCGGUAUCCACAUGUCCUCCACUAACCUCGAGAGUUCCUGCAGCGCAUGCCAAAGACGGUGUGUCAGAAGUCUCAGCGAGGCUAGGGAGCAUGUUAUCGCAUCGGCCUGAAACAUGAAUGGCUACUAGCCGACUCACUGUCCUAAUCCAGGUAACUCACUGCUGGGGUGAGGAGGUGUUUUCAAGUGUAUUAAGAAACCUCAUUCAUUAUCAAAAGUUAUCUAUUUUCCACUAUUAGUAGAUUUCUGAGGUUCUCAUAGAAUAUUUGACAAUUAUUUGAGGUGAGAUAUGUAACUCGGUUACAUAUAAUUUUCUUAAUUAACAAAUAAUUGUACCAGUUACAUAUUUUCUCAACAAAUAAUUUUGACUAGGUAUUAUAUUUCAGGAUUUAUAUUUCUCUAUUAUAUUUCAGUAUUGACUUCGUUAUUUUGUCUUUUGUCUUUUUUUUUUUUUUUAGGGGCCACACCAGCGGUACAUGGAGGUUCCCAGGCUGGGGGUCGAAUGUGAGCUGCAGCCACUGGCCUACACCACAGCCACAGCCCUGUCAUAUCCGAGCUACACCACAGCUCACAGCAGUGCCGUGUCCUUAACCCACUGAGUGAACCUGCGUCCUCAUGGAUGCUAGUCAGAUUCAUUUCUGCUGAGCCAUGAUGGGAACUCCUAUAUUGACUUCUGCAGAUAAAAUGAUGGACAGUAACUCCAUUCUCAAGUAGUCUAUAGUGGAUCAGCAGAAGCAAGCUAGGGAGACACAAUCAAUGCAGAGAGUGGGUCAGUGUGAUGGGUUUAACAGAAGGGCCGCUGGAAGAAUACACAUCCCGGUGUUGGAAUAGGAGAAAGCUGCCUGAAGAAGAGAUGGAAUGCAAUCUCUGGAGCGUGAGAAGAAUCUGUGCAAACAACAGGUAGGUAGGAGCAUGCUUUGAAAUAAAGAUCACCUGUCAUCACA